RNAcentral lists this ribosomal RNA (531 nucleotides) under uncultured bacterium. RNAcentral describes it as "bacterial SSU rRNA". It matches the Rfam family "Bacterial small subunit ribosomal RNA", at positions 777 to 1316 of the family's 1533-position model. The record is from RNAcentral.
AAUAGAUACCCUGGUAGUCCACGCCGUAAACGAUGGAUACUAGCUGUUGGGGGCAACUUCAGUGGCUAAGCGAAAGUGAUAAGUAUCCCACCUGGGGAGUACGAACGCAAGUUUGAAACUCAAAGGAAUUGACGGGGGCCCGCACAAGCGGUGGAGCAUGUGGUUUAAUUCGAUGAUACGCGAGGAACCUUACCAAGGCUUAAAUGCAGACUGACCGAUUUGGAAACAGAUCUUUCGCAAGACAGUUUACAAGGUGCUGCAUGGUUGUCGUCAGCUCGUGCCGUGAGGUGUCAGGUUAAGUCCUAUAACGAGCGCAACCCCUGUUGUUAGUUGCCAGCGAGUAGUGUCGGGAACUCUAACAAGACUGCCAGUGCAAACUGUGAGGAAGGUGGGGAUGACGUCAAAUCAUCACGGCCCUUACGCCUUGGGCUACACACGUGCUACAAUGGCCGGUACAGAGAGCAGCCACCUCGCGAGGGGGAGCGAAUCUAUAAAGCCGGUCACAGUUCGGAUCGGAGUCUGCAACUCGAC